GUCCUGCCUUUCCCUGACUGGGCAACAAGUCAACAAGAACAAAGGUCUGGGGAGCCGACCAGGGCAAGGCCGGCCCGGGCCUCUCGGGGUCUCAAUCCCUCGGCCUGUGUGUGUGCCAGAGCUUCCCACAGAUUUGGGAAGAAGGUGCCGGAGGCUGGCCGGGCGGCCUUGCGGUUUGAAGCAGUGAGUCACCUUCUGGCUGCAAGUCAAGGAACUCUCACUGCGCCCUUGUUUGGACAAGACGGGGAGGCGCACUCAGAGUCAGAGACUCCGGGAGCAGAGACAGGAGCAGGAAGAAGGGGUCACCGAGACCUCAAGAAAGUCAGGGACACAGACGCCCAAACGACCGAGACAACCAGGGACAGAUUAUCCAAUCCCAUUUCUGGAAGACACUCUGACUGUGAAGCAAAAGAACUCUACGCCUGGCACUGGAAGGCUGAUUCUCUGUGAAGGUGGAGGACCACCUGACUGGUCUGGAAGACUGACUGUCCAUACUCUUCUUCCAGGAUCUGGACUUGACAUCGCUGGCUCAAAAAGAUUGACUCUCUAGGGAUCUGAAGGGCCUCUCUAGCUGACAUGCUGUAAUACCAUAUUUCACAAGUGCUCUCUUGACCCAGUUUUGAGAUCCUGGCUAAAACCUCUCGACUCCUCUUUGUCACUUUGCUCAGACUAUACCUUAACUCCUCCAAACUCUUGGCGUGGAGGUGUCUGUGCCCCUGUAUCUAGAUGACUCUUUGGAAUAAUCUUCAUUCCUGGCUUCUGGAGUAGGAGGGGGAAAUGUGGAUGGGUUGGAGGGAUAGGAAGAUAAGAGGAAGCAUGGAACGGUUGCUGUGACAUCUGUUCUGAUCAGCAACCUGAGCUAGAUUUGAGUUCUAUGGUCACAGGUUGGAGGCCAGAAUUGUUCAAAUUUCAUUUACAUGAGCAGCUCGGUGAGGUUCUGGGUUCAACAGGGAGAACUAAUUUUGGUUCUGCAGUGCAUGAGGCCAAGAGUUGGGGAAAUGGAGACUGUUCUCCCCAUGGAGAGCUGUUGACCCCAGCAUAGUUCAUGGAGCCUGAAGGUGAGGCAUCCUGGCCAAGAUGUGCAGAAUGAUGGACCCUGGCCAAACCACUUUUUGGACAGAAACAUGGACAAGUAGAAUCGGGGCAAAAAAGAGGGCACAUGACGAAAUUCCCAUGAGGUCUGAAGCCAGGGCUAUUCAAAGGCCUUUCUUACUGAACCAAUCGCCCAUACCCCAUCCCAGGCCUUCUCCAUUCCUCCUGGAAUCACCAGCGCUGAAGUUUAAAAAUUACAUUUCCCCGACAUCCUUCGAGUUGGAUUUCCACUGGGUUCUGGCAAUGGAAUGUAUCCAUGCGAGAUCCUGGAACUCCUAUCAGACAGAGUCCAAGCUCCUAACUUUUAUCAAUGGCGAUGGCAAUAGUCGAGCAGCAUUGAUGGGGAGUACAGACUUGUGAGCCCAAAAUGACACCACAUUCCUUUUUCACUGGUACUUCCAACAUUUUUAUGACCAAUUCCUUAAAUUAAAUCAUUUUGUCUGAAGUACCUAGAGUGGUUUCUGUUUACCUGACACUUAUCAAAGAUUCGAGAGUACCUACUAUGUGCCAGAUGUUCUAAGAACUAGGAGUAGCAGACUGAACAAGAGCGGAAUAGUGGAUGGGGUCAGAGAGGCUGGGCAGGAGCAAAGCCAUACAGGGCCUUUUAAGCCAUAGGAAGAAGUUUGAGUUUCAGUCUGAUUUCAAUGAUAAGAGCAUCUUAUUCAGGGAAGGGAAGGUAUGUGAUUUAUGACUUGAGCUCUGUGACAGAUGAAGUCUAGCAGGCUGUAAUAGAAAGGAGGGAUAGAGGCGGCUAGUUGAAGACUUCAAGCUGGAGAUGACAAACUGAAGCUGGGGGUGGGGGGCUUACUGUUAUAACAUUAGGGUCCGACGAUGGUAGGAUGAACUCACUGACCUCUGAUGAGAUGAAAAGCAGAACUCUAUUACUUAUAGCAUCAAGUGGGAGAAAGCUGCCAUGCAGGGCCAUGUAGGGCGUUACACCCUGGGACAGGGGAACAGAAAGCUAGAAUGUAGGAGGUAGUUUCUGUCUGGCAAGUGGAGUGGGGUUAGCAGGUCUAGGGGCUUCUUGUGGUUUGGGAAUUUUGAGUGAUUUCACAGACCCAAGGAAGAAGGGUUCAUCCCUUGAUGUAUAGCAAAGAAUCCCUGGGAGUUGGGUGUAUUGUUGUAACCCAGGAGGAGCCCAGUAAGGAAAGGGGUUGGGGUGCAGACUCAGCAAAGUGCCCACUAAGAGGAAUUGAGAGUGUUUAGCCCAGAUCUCAAAAUUGGGUCAAGAGAGCACUUGUGAAAUACGGCAUAACAGCAUGCCAGCUAGAGAGCAGUGGGCAUGAUCAGGAUCUGCUUUAGAGGUAGAGCUGAUGGGACUUCCGAUGGAUUGGACAUGAGAGAAAGAGGAAUCUUGACCAUGGACUUCCAGAAUCAGAGGCCUCUGAUUUUGAGACCGUACCUCUCAUCAGAUACAAAUAAAGAUGUUUGAUAACAUUUUUAAAACUUAUUCAAAUAAACGAAGGGCUAACAAGAUAGUAAAAAACAACCAGGGCUAGUUAGAAGGAAAUAUAUAAGAACCCAGAGAGGAAAACAUCACAGAAGCCACUUUUGCCCUGAGAACACUGACCAAGAAUAAUAAAGAACAGGUGCAAACAAACAAUAUCAAAAAUAAAGGGCAGGCGCAUCAUCACCGAUACUUCAGACAUCAGAAAGAAGAGAACGUGAUGAAAACUGCAUGCCAAUACAUUCGAAAUUUUAGGCAGGGCGCGGUGGCUCACGCCUAUAAUUCCAGCACUUUGGGAGGCUGAGGCGGGUGGAUCACGAGGUCAAGAGAUCGAGACCAUCCUGGUCAACAAGAUGAAACCCCGUCUCUACUAAAAAUACAAAAAAUUAGCUGGGCAUGGUGGUGCGCGCCUGUAGUCCCAGCUAUUCAGGACACUGAGGCAGGAGAAUUGCCUGAACCCAGGAGGCGGAGGUUGCGGUGAGCCGAGAUCGUGCCAUUGCACUCCAGUCUGGGUAACAACAGCCAAACUCCGUCUCAAAAAAAAAAAAAAAAAAGAAAUUUUAAAUGAAAUAGAUAAAUCCUGAGAAAAAGAUAGGUUACUAAUACUGACUUGAGUUUAAAAAAAAAAAAAAACGCUUCAACCACUUUGGAAAAGAGCUUGGCUUUUUCUAGGAAAGCUGAAAACUUUCUGUGACCAGCCAUUAUAGUCCUAAGUAUAUACCUUAAACAAAUUCAGGCAUAUGUGUUUCCAUUAAAAUGUGUAGGAAUAUUUUUAGAAGUACGGAAGCACUGGGGCUGGGCACAGUGGCUCACGCCUGUCCCAGCACUUUGGGAGACCAGGGCAGGCAGAUCAUUUGAGGUCAGGAGGUCAUGACCAGCCUGGGCAACAUGGUGAAACUGUCUCUACUAAAAAUACAAAAUUUAGUAGGGCAUGGUGGAGCCCACCUGUAAUCCCAGCUACCUCGGAAGCUGAGUCAGGAGAAUCGCCUGAACCCGGGAGGCGAACGUCGCAGUGAGCCGAGAUCGCCACUGCACUCCAGCCUGGGCAACAGAGGGAGACUCCAUCUCAAAAUAGUAAUAAUAAUAAUAGCUGGAAAUUGGAACAACAUAAAUAUCCAUUAAGAGUAGAAUGUGGCAUACUACAUAGUAUAGUGAAGUAAUAUGCAACGAUGAAAAUGUAUGAAGUACAGUUACACAUAACAGGAUGAGAAUUACAAGGAUAAUAUUGAAAGAUGUAAAAAAUAAGUAUUCUGUGAUUCCAUAAAUACAAAGUUCAAAUAUAUAUGUAUACGUAUAUAGGCAAAACACACACACACACACACACACACACACACACACAUAUAUAUAUAUAUAUAUAUAUGAUUUAUGAGAAGUUUUUGAGUUCUGGCAAUGUUAUUUCUUGACCUGAAUGGUAGUUACAUGAGCAUUUAUCUUUACUUGUUAAAUUAUGCAUUUAUUUUCAUAACUUUCUGUAUAUAAUUUCUGUUUUACGAUAUAAAAAGUGUUCCAAAGAAUGAUUAAAAGAAUGGAGCUAGGCAACUGGAUGAAUAAUGGUGCCAAUUUCUGAUUUGGAGAGAGUUUCAAAAAAGGAGUGGGAAGUGGAAAGAUGGAGAAUCCAUAAAUGAGAGAUUCAUUCUUGCCAUAUAAAUUCUGGCAUGCCUGUUGGACAUUCAAGAAAAGAUCUCAAGCCUGUAAUCGAGGAUUGAGUCUCAGAGGAGAGGCCCCAAAUCUCCGUCUCAACUGACUGGAAGGAGAUAUUUACAACAGAUAUAGCUGGCAAACAGCUUACAACCAGAAUAUAUAAGGAACUCCUGCAAAUGAGUAAGAAAAAGACAACUUUGUAGAAAAUUGGGCAAGAGACUUGAGCACACUAAGUUUUAAUGUAAGAAAUUACACAACGGGGCCAUUGUAUAGGAAUGAAGUAAAACCCAGUAGCUUGGAAUCCCCCUCAUUGAGUCAAGAGACUGGUCAUUUCAAGGAAAGGAUCUAGGAUGCAAGAAAUCAAAACAUGUAUUUUUGGUUAAAUCUCGGGCAAACAGCGAGAGUCUAGAAAGUACCAGUGACAUGACUGAUAGAAUCUCACCACAUGAUGGAAGCCAACCCGUCAAAAGCCUGGGAAGCCCUCCCAGCCUGGGGCCUCUGUUGGUCCAGGAUCUUGGACUGGUGUCCCAUGGCUUAAUCUUCGGGAUUCAACCAAAUAAAUUUACCCCACCCAUGUCGUGGACCCAAGCAUCCUACCAAGUAGCCUUAGCUUAAAUGCAAGAUAAUACUACUUUGUUCAUCUUGACUGGAGUGAGAAAUGAAUACCUCCAUGCACAUAUAUUUCUUUUACCACAACAAGAUGAUGAAGAAAUAAAUGCAUAAUAUUGAUACUUUUGUAUAAGUCAUGUUUACAGGUGCAGUAAGAAAUUUUAUAAUCGUUAAUUUGCUUUAUAUAGUUUCUGCUUGCUUUUUAUAAUAUUUAAAACAAAAUCUAAGCAACAAAUUAUAUGUGUGAUUAGAUUUACAGAAGUUGCUUAAGUGCUUAGGAAUAAUUUGUUCAUCAUAUUUGUAAGUCUCCCUUGUUAGGUGUUUGAAGUGUUUGAAUCAGCUAAAUUAAAUUUGUAAUUGUAGUUUGAAAUAUCUAAAGGAAUUUGCUUAAUUAAAUGUUUAUAUUAAAAGUUUAUGAGAAUUUAAUCUAUCAGAUUUAACAGUUAAUUGAAUAUGAAUCAAUGAACAAGUAAAUGUGAUCUUGCUUUUAUAAGAAAAAAGCUACUAAGUUCAUAAAUAAAAUAUAAAGAUCCAUAAGUUGAGAGGAAAAG
Callithrix jacchus (white-tufted-ear marmoset) is the source of this 5340-nucleotide long non-coding RNA. RefSeq lists it as uncharacterized. NCBI's taxonomy places the organism in Eukaryota, Metazoa, Chordata, Mammalia, Primates, Cebidae. The record is from RefSeq and is a predicted model, not a curated record.